UACGUAGGGUGCGAGCGUUAAUCGGAAUUACUGGGCGUAAAGCGUGCGCAGGCGGUUACUUAAGUCAGGUGUGAAAGCCCUGGGCUUAACCUAGGAAUUGCGCUUGAGACUGGGUAGCUUGGAGUGUGGCAGAGGGAGGUGGAAUUCCACGUGUAGCAGUGAAAUGCGUAGAGAUGUGGAGGAACACCGAUGGCGAAGGCAGCCUCCUGGGCCAGCACUGACGCUCAUGCACGAAAGCGUGGGGAGCAAACAGG
RNAcentral lists this ribosomal RNA (254 nucleotides) under uncultured bacterium. RNAcentral describes it as "partial 16S ribosomal RNA". It matches the Rfam family "Bacterial small subunit ribosomal RNA", at positions 524 to 776 of the family's 1533-position model. The record is from RNAcentral. RNAcentral also lists the same sequence under 1 other name.